UGGGGAAUAUUGCACAAUGGGCGAAAGCCUGAUGCAGCAACGCCGCGUGAGGGAAGACGGUUUUCGGAUUGUAAACCUCUGUUUUCGGUGACGAACAAAUGACGGUAACCGAGUAGGAAGCCACGGCUAACUACGUGCCAGCAGCCGCGGUAAUACGUAGGGGGCAAGCGUUAUCCGGAUUUACUGGGUGUAAAGGGAGCGUAGACGGCAAGACAAGUCUGAAGUGAAAUGCGGGGGCUCAACCCCUGAACUGCUUUGGAAACUGUGUAGCUAGAGUGCAGGAGAGGUAAGUGGAAUUCCUAGUGUAGCGGUGAAAUGCGUAGAUAUUAGGAGGAACACCAGUGGCGAAGGCGGCUUACUGGACUGUAACUGACGUUGAGGCUCGAAAGCGUGGGGAGCAAACAGGAUUAGAUACCCUGGUAGU
RNAcentral lists this ribosomal RNA (424 nucleotides) under uncultured Clostridium sp. Its description in RNAcentral is "bacterial SSU rRNA". It matches the Rfam family "Bacterial small subunit ribosomal RNA", at positions 355 to 794 of the family's 1533-position model. The record is from RNAcentral. Lineage: Bacteria; Bacillati; Bacillota; Clostridia; Eubacteriales; Clostridiaceae.